CCAGACUCCUACGGGAGGCAGCAGUGGGGAAUAUUGCACAAUGGGCGCAAGCCUGAUGCAGCCAUGCCGCGUGUAUGAAGAAGGCCUUCGGGUUGUAAAGUACUUUCAGUCGGGAGGAAGGUGGUAAGGUUAAUAACCUUAUCAAUUGACGUUACCGACAGAAGAAGCACCGGCUAACUCCGUGCCAGCAGCCGCGGUAAUACGGAGGGUGCAAGCGUUAAUCGGAAUUACUGGGCGUAAAGCGCACGCAGGCGGUCUGUCAAGUCGGAUGUGAAAUCCCCGGGCUCAACCUGGGAACUGCAUUCGAAACUGGCAGGCUGGAGUCUUGUAGAGGGGGGUAGAAUUCCAGGUGUAGCGGUGAAAUGCGUAGAGAUCUGGAGGAAUACCGGUGGCGAAGGCGGCCCCCUGGACAAAGACUGACGCUCAGGUGCGAAAGCGUGGGGAGCAAACAGGAUUAGAUCCCCCUGUAUA
RNAcentral lists this ribosomal RNA (471 nucleotides) under uncultured bacterium. RNAcentral describes it as "bacterial SSU rRNA". It matches the Rfam family "Bacterial small subunit ribosomal RNA", at positions 331 to 793 of the family's 1533-position model. The record is from RNAcentral.